GAGUAGGAAUGAUCGACUAAGUACGUCACUUCCUGUGACAACGUCGAUCUGACCCACGUCGUGUGGG
This 67-nucleotide small RNA is filed under the name Pontibacillus marinus BH030004 = DSM 16465. RNAcentral describes it as "Bacillaceae-1 RNA". It matches the Rfam family "Bacillaceae-1 RNA". The record is from Rfam by way of RNAcentral. Lineage: Bacteria; Bacillati; Bacillota; Bacilli; Caryophanales; Bacillaceae.